CUCUUGAUCUGAAAUCAGGCGGGAUACCCGCUGAACUUA
RNAcentral lists this ribosomal RNA (39 nucleotides) under zygomycete sp. GFI 2. Its description in RNAcentral is "partial 28S ribosomal RNA". Lineage: Eukaryota; Fungi; Mucoromycota. The record is from RNAcentral.